CAGCCACAUCAUAUUGAAACACUGGUUCCCGUAUGAUCACCGAAGUUAAGCAACGUCGAGUCAGAUCAGUAGCUAGAUGGGUGACUGCUUAGGAAUUCCAGAUGCUGUAAG
This is a non-coding RNA of Acanthosepion pharaonis, 111 nucleotides long. NCBI's taxonomy places the organism in Eukaryota, Metazoa, Mollusca, Cephalopoda, Sepiida, Sepiidae. The record is from the annotation of a GenBank genome assembly.